This 31-nucleotide non-coding RNA is filed under the name Rattus norvegicus (Norway rat). Lineage: Eukaryota; Metazoa; Chordata; Mammalia; Rodentia; Muridae. The record is from RNAcentral.
UAGGUGAGACGUCAUCUCCAACAAGGAAGAC